Molecule: transfer RNA, 96 nt
Filed under: Gammaproteobacteria bacterium
Lineage: Bacteria; Pseudomonadati; Pseudomonadota; Gammaproteobacteria
Description: tRNA-His
Source: RNAcentral
GGGGUCCUGGAGGAUCGGGACGCCCCGCCGGCCCAUGUCGCCGGAAAAGACGACGGUCUUCCAGGAGUCGUGCCGGUCGCGGUAGCGGAUCUCCGC